AGCCGCCAGACGGGCGCGGCCGGUGCGCGACAUCUUCCGGCGCGCCACCCGCGCCCACCUGACGACUGCUCGCUACGUUCUGUUGGCC
Molecule: small RNA, 88 nt
Filed under: Xanthomonas codiaei
Lineage: Bacteria; Pseudomonadati; Pseudomonadota; Gammaproteobacteria; Lysobacterales; Lysobacteraceae
Also listed under: 1 other name
Description: sX9 sRNA
Rfam family: Xanthomonas sRNA sX9
Source: RNAcentral